Molecule: RNA transcript, 2243 nt
Organism: Trichechus manatus latirostris (Florida manatee)
Lineage: Eukaryota; Metazoa; Chordata; Mammalia; Sirenia; Trichechidae
Gene: N4BP2L1
Gene name: NEDD4 binding protein 2 like 1
Exons: 6
Source: RefSeq, a predicted model, not a curated record
CGGGAACGCGGGGCCCCGGCAGCCGGCCCCCUCCCCCCCAUGGAGGACAGUUUUCUUGAAUCCUUUGGGAGGCUCAGCCUCCAGCAGCGGCAGCAGCCGCGGCCGCCGCCCCCGCGCGGGACACCUCCGCGCCGCCACAGCUUCAGGAAACACCUCUACCUGCUGCGAGGCCUCCCGGGCUCGGGGAAAACCACGCUGGCCAGACAGCUGCAGCUCGACUUCCCCAGGGCCGUGAUUUUCAGCACGGAUGACUUCUUCUCCCAGGAGGACGGCACCUAUGAGUUCAACCCCGACUUCCUGGAGGAAGCUCACAAAUGGAACCAGAAAAGAGCGAGAAAAGCGAUGAGGAACGGCGUCUCCCCCGUAAUUAUUGAUAACACCAACCUCCAGGCCUGGGAGAUGAAGCCCUAUGCCCUCAUGGCACUUGAAAAUAACUAUGAAGUUCUAUUCCGAGAACCUGCCACUCGCUGGAAAUUCAACGUUCCAGAGUUAGCAAGAAGAAACAUUCAUGGAGUCCCGAGAGAGAAGAUCCACCGCAUGAAAGAACAGUAUGAACACGGUGUCACCUUUCACAGCGUGCUUCAUGCCGAAAAGCCGAGCUGGGCGACCGGAAGCCAGGACAGGAAUACGGCGGCGCCUUCCGAGGGCGCGGGGGACUGGCGGGCCUGUGCAGAGUUUCCCAGCCGGAGGGCCCCCGGGGGCUUCGCCAGCGACAGCUUCUUCAGCAGGAGGGGUGGUUGCCACCGCGGAUAUUAGCGUCUUGUCUUCCGGCUGUUUACAGUUUUCCUAAAUCAGUUUUUACGCCAGUUUUUGGUAUUUAUUCCUUGUUCAGUUUUAGCCAGAGCUCUAAUUCCAGUGUAGAUAAUUGAACCCCAAGUUUUCUAGCAGAUGUCAUUCUAGUCAUCGUCUGCAGCAGGCUUGUGUUCAAGUGUCCCAUGUGCCUGGUUUGCUGCGGGGCUUCUGCAGAUUGGAGGAAGCAAUGCCCCUUUCUCGAGGGAAACCCGAAACCCGAGAACAUACCGAGAUUAGUCCAGCAGGUUCAUCAACGAAGGGAAGGGUUUACAGUAUCUAAGCUUCAGCGCUACUUUCUCUGAAGUGUCCGUUUACUUUUCCAGGAAAUUCAUCUCCGUGAGGAAAGUGGGGGAAGGAGAGGCGACGGGAGAAAUUUUAGCGCCAUUGCUAACUUAUGUGGUUUGCGUGACUCUGAUGACAGCGAUUUUAUUUUGUUGUUGAGACUAUACACAGCAAAACAAACACCAGUUCAGCAGCUUCUACAUGUACGAUUCAGUGGCAUUGAUUACAUUCUCCGAGUUGUGCAACCAUUUUCACCCACCGUUUCUGAGUUGUUCCUUCUCCGGUAACGUAAACUCACUGCCCCCUAAGCUUCCUAAAUAUUGAUUUUCUUCUAAAACAAAUAUGCCAGAAAGUUUACAUCUGCGUCAAUACUGCCCUUCAAAGGAGACACUUUGGGAAGUCACACUUUGUGUUUUAACACCACUUUGUUCAACAGGGUUAAACCUGAAUACAUUUCGGCUAUUGCUCAACUAGUGUGAGUAAAACAAGCCUGCCUUCCGUAAAACACCAAUGUUUGAAAGGAAUAAUUAAAUGAUGUUUAAAAUUUCUGCCUAUAAAUGUGAUUGGUCGGCAGCCUGAAUGUGUGGGAGCACGAGGAGUUAAGCACCCCAGCACAGAGAUCACGUAACCAGUAGCCAGUCAACUCUGACUCGUGGUGACCCCAUGGGCAUCGGAGUAGGACUGUGCUCCGUAGGGUUUUCAGUGGCUGAUUUUUUGGAAGUAGAUGGCCAGGCCUUUCCUCCGAGGUACCUCUGGGUGGAUGUGAACUGCUAGCCUUUUAGUUAGUAGUGAGCGCUUAACUGUUUGCACCAAGAAACCGUGCUUACUGUAAGGUGAGCAGUGUUGGUGUUUUGUGUGGUGUUUAGGACAAUGAAGUUCUCAAGUCUGACAUGUUCCUGAAUCCAAACUCCAUGCCAGCAGGUUAGGAGCAAGUCAACUUGGUGACCACGGCAGCCACGACCACGUGGGAUGUCCGCUUUCUACUGUGGGCCAGCAGCUUCUAACGCUCUGUGGAGUGGUAUUUCCAGUGUCCCGUAUGAUGGUGCUUUUACGGUUAUUAAAAAUUUUACCUGACCUGCGCACGAGUCGGGAUUGACGGCAGCUAACCAGUGCACGUCAGAAAGAGGUUUCACUAGCAUUCCGUUACCUGACGGUUUGACACCCACCCA